RNAcentral lists this ribosomal RNA (467 nucleotides) under Lepidopleurus cajetanus. RNAcentral's name for it is "partial 16S ribosomal RNA". It matches the Rfam family "Bacterial large subunit ribosomal RNA", at positions 1843 to 2586 of the family's 2925-position model. Lineage: Eukaryota; Metazoa; Mollusca; Polyplacophora; Lepidopleurida; Lepidopleuridae. The record is from RNAcentral.
AUAUAAAGAAUCGUGCCUGCCCAGCGCAGCUGUCAGCUCGUUAGCGGCCGCAGUACCCUGACUGUGCAAAGGUAGCAUAAUAAAUUGCCUUUUAAUUAAAGGCUAGAAUGAAUGGCUUGACGAGGAUCAGACUGGCUCUCUUAUAUUGACUAGAAAUUAUCCUUUAGGUGAAGAGGCCUAGAUAAAUGUGAUAGACGGAAAGACCCUAUUGAGCUUUAGGGCAAGUGGUAGCUAGUAGCUUAUUAGGCGCCCUUUGGUUGGGGCAACAGAAAGACAUACUAAGCUCUUUUUUAACUAUUAAAUAUAUCUAUUUUGAUCCGCUAAUUUGCGAUAAGAAGAUUAAGUUACCAUAGGGAUAACAGCGUAAUCUUUUUGGAGAGCUCUUAUUGAAAAAAGGGUUUACGACCUCGAUGUUGGAUUAAGAGUGCUGGUAGGUGCAAAAGCUUUCUAAGCUGGUCUGUUCGACC